AGAGAGGUAAGGGACCAGCUCAGGGACCAGCUACACUAUUCACAGCCCUGUGUAAUGUUCUAUAUAAGAGAGGUAAGGGACCAGCUACACUAUUCACAGCCCUGUGUAAUGUUCUAUAUAAGAGAGGUAAGGGACCAGCUACACUAUUCACAGCCCUGUGUAAUGUUCUAUAUAAGAGAGGUAAGGGACCAGCUACACUAUUCACAGCCCUGUGUAAUGUUCUAUAUAAGAGAGGUAAGAGACCAGCUACACUAUUCACAGCCCUGUGUAAUGUUCUAUAUAAGAGAGGUAAGAGACCAGCUACACUAUUCACAGCCCUGUGUAAUGUUCUAUAUAAGAGAGGUAAGGGACCAGCUACACUAUUCACAGCCCUGUGUAAUGUUCUAUAUAAGAGAGGUAAGGGACCAGCUCAGGGACCAGCUACACUAUUCACAGCCCUGUGUAAUGUUCUAUAUAAGAGAGGUAAGGGACCAGCUCAGGGACCAGCUACACUAUUCACAGCCCUGUGUAAUGUUCUAUAUAAGAGAGGUAAGGGACCAGCUCAGGGACCAGCUACACUAUUCACAGCCCUGUGUAAUGUUCUAUAUAAGAGAGGUAAGGGACCAGCUACACUAUUCACAGCCCUGUGUAAUGUUCUAUAUAAGAGAGGUAAGGGACCAGCUACACUAUUCACAGCCCUGUGUAAUGUUCUAUAUAAGAGAGGUAAGGGACCAGCUACACUAUUCA
Molecule: long non-coding RNA, 726 nt
Organism: Oncorhynchus keta (chum salmon)
Lineage: Eukaryota; Metazoa; Chordata; Actinopteri; Salmoniformes; Salmonidae
Exons: 3
Source: RefSeq, a predicted model, not a curated record